This 465-nucleotide ribosomal RNA is filed under the name Vreelandella stevensii. RNAcentral's name for it is "partial 16S ribosomal RNA". It matches the Rfam family "Bacterial small subunit ribosomal RNA", at positions 338 to 795 of the family's 1533-position model. Lineage: Bacteria; Pseudomonadati; Pseudomonadota; Gammaproteobacteria; Oceanospirillales; Halomonadaceae. The record is from RNAcentral.
CCUACGUGUGGCAGCAGUGGGGAAUAUUGGACAAUGGGCGAAAGCCUGAUCCAGCCAUGCCGCGUGUGUGAAGAAGGCCUUCGGGUUGUAAAGCACUUUCAGUGGGGAAGAAAGCCUUGGGGCUAAUACCCUCGAGGAAGGACAUCACCCACAGAAGAAGCACCGGCUAACUCCGUGCCAGCAGCCGCGGUAAUACGGAGGGUGCGAGCGUUAAUCGGAAUUACUGGGCGUAAAGCGCGCGUAGGCGGUCUGAUAAGCCGGUUGUGAAAGCCCCGGGCUCAACCUGGGAACGGCAUCCGGAACUGUCAGGCUAGAGUGCAGGAGAGGAAGGUAGAAUUCCCGGUGUAGCGGUGAAAUGCGUAGAGAUCGGGAGGAAUACCAGUGGCGAAGGCGGCCUUCUGGACUGACACUGACGCUGAGGUGCGAAAGCGUGGGUAGCAAACAGGAUUAGAUACCCUGGUAGUC